UCUCUGGUGGUCCAGUAGAUAGGAUUUGGCACUUUCACUGCUAUGGCCUGGGUUCAAUCCCUGGUCUUAGAA
Molecule: transfer RNA, 72 nt
Filed under: Sus scrofa (pig)
Lineage: Eukaryota; Metazoa; Chordata; Mammalia; Artiodactyla; Suidae
Rfam family: tRNA
About the family: Transfer RNA (tRNA) molecules are approximately 80 nucleotides in length. Their secondary structure includes four short double-helical elements and three loops (D, anti-codon, and T loops).
Source: Rfam by way of RNAcentral